This 300-nucleotide ribosomal RNA is filed under the name uncultured Thermus sp. RNAcentral describes it as "bacterial SSU rRNA". It matches the Rfam family "Bacterial small subunit ribosomal RNA", at positions 495 to 794 of the family's 1533-position model. Lineage: Bacteria; Thermotogati; Deinococcota; Deinococci; Thermales; Thermaceae. The record is from RNAcentral.
GGGUAAUUCCUGACCUUGUGCCGCGGUAUAGAGGAAGGUGUGAGGGUGAAUGUGGAGUACUGAGCCUAAGUCGGGCGUAGUCGGCUUGUGAAGUCGGAUGUUAAAGCCCCGUGCUUAACCUGAGAAUGGCAUCGGAUUCUGGGGUGCUAGAGUACGGUAGAGGGAGGUGGAAUUCCAGGUGUAGCGGUGAAAUGCGUAGAUAUCUGGAGGAACACCAGUAGCGAAGGCGGCCCCCUGGACUGACAUUGACGCUGAGGUGCGAAAGCGUGGGGAUCAAACAGGAUUAGAUACCCGAGUAGC